UACGAAGGGGGCGAGCGUUAUUCGGAUUUACUGGGCGUAAAGGGCGCGCAGGCGGCCAUCCAAGUCAGGCGUGAAAGCCCCGGGCUCAACCUGGGAAUGGCGCCUGGGACUGGGUGGCUUGAGAUCGGGAGAGGGGCGUGGAAUUCCCAGUGUAGAGGUGAAAUUCGUAGAUAUUGGGAAGAACACCGGUGGCGAAGGCGGCGCUCUGGACCGAGACUGACGUUGAGGCGCGAAAGCGUGGGGAGCAAACAGG
RNAcentral lists this ribosomal RNA (253 nucleotides) under uncultured bacterium. RNAcentral describes it as "partial 16S ribosomal RNA". It matches the Rfam family "Bacterial small subunit ribosomal RNA", at positions 524 to 776 of the family's 1533-position model. The record is from RNAcentral.